GGACUUUCUUAGAAAAAUAAGGAUUGACAAAAGGGGGGAAACAUGAGAUGUAGAGGGCCCCAUGUCUGUGUUUGCCUUGGGCCCCAAAAUGACUAAAUCCGCCCCUGAUUUCAGGGGCAGCUACAUCAUUUGCAGCC
Molecule: long non-coding RNA, 137 nt
Organism: Sander lucioperca (pikeperch)
Lineage: Eukaryota; Metazoa; Chordata; Actinopteri; Perciformes; Percidae
Exons: 4
Source: RefSeq, a predicted model, not a curated record